Thalassophryne amazonica is the source of this 172-nucleotide long non-coding RNA. RefSeq lists it as uncharacterized. NCBI's taxonomy places the organism in Eukaryota, Metazoa, Chordata, Actinopteri, Batrachoidiformes, Batrachoididae. The record is from RefSeq and is a predicted model, not a curated record. The transcript has 3 exons.
AUUUCAAAUUGGAUGAGAAAGAAACAAGACAUCCAUGGAUGAAAACCUACACCAGAGCGGUCUUGACCUCAGACUGGGGCGAUGGUUCAUCUUUCAGCAGGACAAUGACCCUAAGCACACAGCCAAGAUAUCCAAGGAGUGACUUCAGGGCAACUCUGAAUGUCCUUGAGUG